Molecule: ribosomal RNA, 309 nt
Filed under: uncultured bacterium
Lineage: Bacteria
Description: bacterial SSU rRNA
Rfam family: Bacterial small subunit ribosomal RNA
Source: RNAcentral
GGCUAACUCCGUGCCAGCAGCCGCGGUAAUACGGAGGGUGCGAGCGUUAAUCGGAAUUACUGGGCGUAAAGCGCAUGCAGGUGGUUUGUUUAAGUUCAGAUGUGAAAGACCCGGGGCGUCAACCUCGGAAUAGCAUUUGUAAACUAGGCAGACUAGAGUACUGUAGAGGGGGGUAGGAAUUUCAGGUGUAGCGGUGAAAUAGCGUAGAGAUCUGAAGGAAUACCGGUGGCGAAGGCGGCCCCCUCGGACAGAUACUGACACUCAGAUGCGAAAGCGUGGGGAGCAAACAGGAUUAGAUACCCCUGGUAG